UUUUUUUUUUUUUUUUUUUUUUUUGUGGAAAGGGGGGUGGGGGGCAGAUUUAGAAAGUCAUCUAAAAACACAAUCAAGGGCAGGGAGGGAACACUGUUUGAUUACUCUAAAGUAGGCCCUUAGGAGGCAGCAUCAUUGGUUGACUUAAUGAACAUGCCAUCCAGGGGCUAUGAAUGGAUUGCUUGUAAAUAACCAGACCUGACAUAAUCAUGAUUUAAAUUGCUAAUCCUGUUCCUGUUUUGGAAUGACAUAUCAGUCACAAAUUUCGGCUGCAUUGUGCAGAGUUGGAAUUGCGAAGAAGAAAGUAUCUCAAAUCAAAUGUCCCUCGUGAUCAUUUUCAAUGUAGAGAGAUAGGUAAGGAUUUUUUUUUUUUAUUUUAAUUUUUUUGGGUUGAUUAGGUAACUAAACAUACAGUAGAGGAAACCCUUGUUCAGUAACCUGGAAAAUUGCAUCCACUAGGCAAAAUCAAAGCCUUAAAGGACACCAAAAUGAACUAUCUAUGAUAGUUGGACUGCUGGACAAUGGCUGCAAAGCUCCCUCACUCCCUCUUCUUCAAUUGGCUCAAAGCUCCUCCAUGCAUGAUCUGCUGUUGCUGUUGUUGCAGAUGUGUCAACUGAAUGGACCAUUGAAAUUGUUCUUGAUGAUUCCCCUGGCACCUUAUAACCAGCCAAGAAAUACAGAUGACUUCCAGUUGGUGCCAUAGUUAGGUACAGCCCUUGAAUGGGUUGGAAGUCUUCUUCACCACCAUAUUUCAGAUAUGUGGAAACUGGAGAUGGAAAUCUUUUUAGUUGUGACCCUUCAACCACGUUCCAUGUAGUGAGUUUUCCGUCGUCGAACUCAAUAUGACCUUUCCAUGCACUCAGGCAAUCCCCAGAGCCAAACAGAUGGCCAGAAACAAGGUCCCACUUGCCACUCUGUACAUUGUACACCUCAGCCGAGCACCCAUCUAUGUAAUACGAUUGGACGAAUCCACCGACCACGUGGACUUUCCCUCGCCACGUCACACCUACAGAUUUGCACCUUAAUCUGUUCGUGUUAGGCAGGGGAGCCCAUUUAUCUGUCAGGGGAUCAUACACUUCAGCGGCAGCAGUGCCCCUGGCACCAGCCAGCGCGGAGUGCCCUCCAGCAACAUAGAUCUUGUUGUCACAGACAGUGCCCGCAAAAUCAUAUCUAGGUACGCUAAGGGGUGCACAAUUAGGCCAUUCCUCAGUGUGGAUAUUGUAGCAGAAUACACUUGAAAGUACUUCCACAUCUGUUUGUAGCCAAGUGAGGACUAGAUAACAAGAAGGUAAAAGUAAAUCUGUUUGUAUUUCUUGAGAUUUAGUACCUUGGGAUCAAAUUCAAGGGCACUGCUCGUAAAUCAGGAUCAUGCAAGCAUCAUAACAUUUGCCACGGUUAGAAUGGAGUUGAGUUGGUUACAAAAUCCAAAUACUCGAAUUCGAUACAACCAAGAAGUCUAGUUUAUUAUCGUUUAAUUCAUCCUGGUCAAUUCUGAGAGUAAAGGCGUUUCUUUCCCUCUUCCUUUUCCUUCUUUUUAGUUAAUGCCAUCAUGGGAUGAAAGAUUGUACACAUUUGGGCAUGGCUUAGAGUGUGUUGCACAAAACAAAUCAAGUGAAAUCCAAAUGAAGAUGAUUGCUACUAGGAAAGCUAUAUAUACAUAUAUAUAUAGGCGGACACAUAAAUGUUUUAUACUAAAAAAAACUAGUGGUUUGCCGACACAUUAAGUCUAACUAAAGUGCAAACUACAUCUAAAAUACUGUUAGUGAUCAGUACAAAAAUCAUGCUCAGGAACAUACGGCCUUUUUUUAAUUUGGAAGAAGGAACACACGACCUCAAAUCAUAGACAAGUCUAAUCAUUCCAUGGUGUUCUAUUCCUCUCUUUCUAUCGCCACUCCAUUAUCUCUCAUUUUAUUUAUGCAAUCAAUCACGUUUAAUUAGAACUUAAAUAAAAGGGAAAAUAUAAAAAACCUCCCCCAAAGCUUCUCUUAAAAUCACAUAGCACUCCUAAAGUUUUAAAAUUAUCACUUAAUCUCCUUUACUUUUUUUUUUUAUUUGUGUUAAAAACCCUAAACUACCAUUUUGCUCGCUAAAUAAAAAUGCUCGUAAGUUACUUUGUCUGUUUCAAGAAAACCAUCACCUAAAAAAUAAUCUCUAAUAGUACUACCAGGGCACAAUGCUAUAGUCCAUAAAAGUACAAAUAUGAAAAACAAAAAAGAUAUUUGUAAAGAAAUACACUAGUACCAAUUUUAUUCUAUAUGCUCAAAAUUGAUUUCUUAUGAUCCUUAUAUUUUUUUUCCAACUUCUUCGCAAUCCGUGUCCAAUCCUUUAAAUUGUACUGAUCAUUAUAAAAAUCAAUUCAAAAUAAACAAAAAAAAUCUUACCCCACUCUAUCACAAUCACAAAGGUGAAAGAUAAACAAAAUUCAAUUUACUAUAAUUUACAAAUAAAAAUCGCAUAAUCAUCAAAAAAAAUGUGUAAGAGAGAAUGUUGGAGAAAGAAGAAAGAGAAUGAAGUGACUUAUGUUUCUUUUUUUUAAAUUUUUUUUGAGUUACGUUUAUUUGAUAUGUGAAUUAUGUAUCAAGUGAGAGUUAAUAUAAUCUUUUUGUAAUUAAUAGGGGAGGUAAGUCAAGUGAUAUCUUCAAAAUUUUAAGUGUGCUAAGUGAUAUUAGAAGAAACCUUAAGGGAGGUUUCUGAUAUUAUCCAUAAAUAAAUUGUGGGGGGCUGGAAUAGGUUCAUUACUUAAAAGUUGGCUAUAGAUGCACUUUCGCAUGAACCACUCUGAAAAAGUACCUAAAAAGAAGAUGGAUCCAAUCCAUACAAAGAUACACCAAAUCUCACUAUUACUUCUACUAAUACUACUAUUAGGGUCUAAAUGAGCAAAAGAAUAAUUCAAUUCGGCGAUAGACAUCAUCGAGGUUUGCUGAUCAAGAAUCAACUAACUUUUUUAGUCGAGCUAGAACAUAAUAAUGUCUCAAUAUCUCUUGUUCAAAGAUCUUCUUUAUCUACUUUUGGGGCGAAAAGAAAUCCUAAACCAAAUAUUAUAUUGAAGUUGCAGUUCUAGAUCAAUAUGGAUAUUGCUGUUGCUUAAGGGUUGAGAAAGCAAGACAUGCAACCGGGGAACCAAUCAAUCUUGUAUUGGUGCAGCUUUGUAGAAGUAAGGUAACUAUCUGCUGGCUGCUCCUUUUAUUAUUAUUUUUUUGAGUCACAUCUGCAUGCCACUUAACUUUAAUUAUAGUUCCACAUCAUUAGAAAAGCGAAAAAAUUAUUUAACAGAAUAAAAAAGAGCAAGAAAAACAUGUCUAGGGAGUAGUUCCUAUGUACAAGCUUCAUGUAUGUUAACCCCAAGAUUGCCCUGAUCGAGUUAUGACAUAGCAUUGGCUAAGGUGGAUAAUUUUAGGUUCAAAUAUUUGGGUGUUUGAGCUAUCGAAUUGUGCUUUUGUUCAAAUUCUGCCAUCAUUUUCCAUUCGGGGGUUUUUUUUUUUUUUUCCCCUAAAGGUAGAGAAGAAGAAGUGCUUCUUAAUUGCUUUAUUAAACUAAUAUCAAAUUGGACCAUGCACGUGAUUGCAUUAGCCUAAAAACCAGUUUUCAUUAGGAAAAAUUAAACCUUGCUUGGAAUGGUAAUUUUGACCCCCCCCCCCAAAAAAAAAAAAGGAAUUUCUAGACACAUUUUUCAAUUUCUUUCUAUCUCAUAUACAUCACACUACUACAUUAAUAUUUUGAGCAAAUCUUAUAUACACUGACAGUAGUGUAUACGCUAUUACAGUUGAAUGCACAACACAUAUGCAAAUUCUGAGUUUUAAAUUUAAAUUCAAAUUAUAUAUCAUGUAUCUAAUAAUAAAAGUAUAUACAAUGCAAUGUGCGAAAGAUUAAUCAUAAUAUUUUUAUACAAGAAACUCUAAAAACUAGCAUUCCAAAGAUUAAGCUUCAGUUUUCCUUGUUGCGAUAUGGCCCAAGUGAUGUAAUAAAUGGGCUCAUUGCUUUUGGGCCUCAAUUCCAAUGGAUUACACUGGCUUACUUUUAGUCAAUGAAUCGGGCUCGAUACUGAGUCGGCCUCAAGAUACCCGGGAAGUUUUUGAUGAGCGCCUAGUAGCCGAAUAAUAAUAUUAAUUUGUUCAAGUCUUCAAAUGUUCCCCCCACUAUAUUUUUUUUUUUUAACUUGUAAUAAGACUUGGAGACUUUUUUAAACUAAUAUAUAUAACAAGGUUUGGUCCAAAACUGAUCAACAUGGAUCUGGCAAGAUUUAAAGAGGCCCUCCAUUUUUUUGUUAAAAAGAAAAAGAGGCCCUCCAUUCUAAGUCGAUUAGUAGUGAUAUAUUACUUUUAUAUCUUUUUAGUACAAUGUGUCACUUUAAUUCGUAAUAUUAAUAUUUUACAAUAUAUAUAUAUAUAUAUAUAUAUAUAUAUAUAUAAUUUUCAAAAAAAAAAAGAAGAAUAUACGCGCUUCCAAAGAUGUUUUGCUGUAUAUCAGUGCAUUCAUAUCCUGCCGAGGACAGAAGCCAAUGUGCAGGAAGAUGGGGUAACUAUUAUACCGGGGCCCUGCACAUCAGAAAUUGAAUGCAUUAGUUAUUCUUAUUUUUAUUUUUUUUGCCAACAUUUUCUUACGAAAGUAAGAAUGGCAGUUUUUUGGUUGGUUGUCUCCUGAGUCAUUGUCUCAAAUUUACUGUGUGUUUUUGUUUUUCAACCUUUUUCUUUUUUCUCAAAAUUUCACCUACCCCUUUGCGGAAGGGCGUGUAGGAGGAAGUGGGGCUAUCGACCAACCACCUUUUUAUUUCAUAUACAUUACAUCAUAAAAAGUGCUAUAGUAAUUAUUUCAAAUAAAUAUUUCAAAUAAUACCCUAUCCAAACAAUCCGAUCGGAUUUGGAUCCAGUGAUCUGAUUUGGAUCCUAUGCAAAAUAACGAAUAUUCAAUCCCUCAGAUCAUAUGUGGAUCGAAUCACAUCUGGAUCAAGAAGUUAUGCGAGUCGAGUUCGGAUAUCAUUUUUUGUGACCCAUGAAUAUUUGAUCCCAUCCGUAUAGUAUUUUUUUUUAUUUUAAGAAUUGUUGAUACAUUAAAUCCACUAAUUUAUAAUUAUUUUAUCUCUUGUUUCUUAUUUUCACAUCUAUAUCAUCUUUCAAAAUAAACUUUCUUUGCAUAUGAUGUUAAGUUUUCAAACAUAUUGUUGUGUAAUCUGUGGAUAAAGAAAUUGUAGACGAAAUAUUUAAUAUUAUUUGUUUGAAUCAAAAUAAGAAAAAAAGAUAUAAAAGUUACUUUAUAUUGCAACAAAACAAAAUUAAAAAGUUCAGCAAAUUAGGCACAUGAUAUUUUUGAAACUCUAAUGCAUCUAAAUUUCAUUUUACUUUUUGGAUUUAUACUUUUUUUUAAAAAAAUUAAAAAUGGAUACGAGUCGAAUAUCUAAUUGACCCGACUGCAUAUUGCAGCCAGAUAUGUGUGGAUAUUCGCAUUAGCGGAGGAUCCGAAUAUGGUUCACAAAAUGACUGAUCCGCUUUUGCGAAUCGAGUCAACAUUCCAAUGCGUGCGUGAAGGUCCGCUAACCAGGGUAAUCAAGGUAUUGGGAAUAGGGGACCAAAAUUCGGGCAAAAGAGAAUUUAUUGAGAAUCUGCAAAGUCCAAACUGGCUACUGCAACGAGACAUUGGGAAGAAGCAUUGAAAUCUACCAAUCCUGAACGCAUUUUACACUACAGACCUUUUGUCGGAGACAAAUGAGUUUACGGGGAAAAAGGGUUUCUGAUUUGAUGCAUCACGAAGGAGAUUCCUCGCCGAUUAUUUCACGUGAUUAUUUCAUCAUGAAUUUUGAGCCAUAUUUCUUCACAAUGGACUUGAGCAAGAAUGAUCCCUCGAGUCAACUACUCAGUCGACCUCAAGAAAUUGCUACCGGUAAAGUCUUUGACGACGAAAAGUUAUUAUUAUUUUCAAAGCGAAAGACAAAAAAAAUCUAUUUAUUAAAAUAUGAGCAAUAUUUUAAACGAUUUUUUUAAUAUUUGAAUUAUAUAUAUAUAUCUAUAAUUUUCAACAAUAAUGUAUGACUACAUUACAUCAAUAUAUGUGCUUCCUGUAUACCAGUGCAUUUAUAUCCUGCCAAUGUGUAGGACAGAAGCCAAUGUGGAGGAAGAUGAGGAAAAUGCAUCAUACCAGGGGGGCCCGGGGCAUCAGAAAUUGAAUUCAUAGUCAUUCAAUUCAAUCUUCCUCAGUCCCGGGGCUUUUAUGGUUUUUUGUUUUACUACUUUUUGUUUAUUACAAAUUUUCACCUUCACUUUUGCAGAUGGGGAUGUAGGAGGGAGUGGGACUAACCACUAUUAAUAGGGGGUGUGCAGAUGAUCCGAACAAACCUGAAACAGCGGAUAUCCGAUCCGCCAAAUCACAUCCGUAUCAAGAAGUCAUGCAGAUCAAAUUUGGAUCACGAAGGAGAUUCCUCGCCGAUUGUUUCACAUGACAUGAUACUCUGCUCGAGGCCGUAAAUAGGAAUUUAGAGCUAUCUUUCUUCACAUGAAUUUUGGCUGGUUGUAUUUGAUUUGAUUAGUAGUACUUUGCACUCCACUUUACGUGCGUGAUAAUUAUUUACCAAAACAGCCAAGCUCUUGGCUUAGUAAGUAAUCUGGUUUUCAUGGGGUAGGAGUGAAACUUACUUACUUGAGGAACUAUCUAUCUUUUUUUUGUUUUUCUUUUUCAAUAGGGUAGGAGUGAAAGUUAAGAAGCAGCGAAGGGAGAAUAAAGAUUUGAAGUUUGAGCCUCUAAUUUUUAGGAUCUCAAUCUUAACCGCUAGAUCAGAACCUUCUCAGUACUUGAUAAACUAUUUAAUUAUGUGCGAAGAUUAUUUUAUUGUUUAAGAAGCAUAAAUUUUGCGUUAUAGUGUACACAUUCACAAUUUAUAAUUAAUGUAGUUUUCAUUAAGUUAACAUGCACAGAAAUUAGUUGAGAAACUAUUUAAAGAUUAAUUGAAUGUUUAAAAAGCAUAAUUUUUUUGUUGUAGUGUACAUGUUCACAAUUUAAGGCAGAGGAAUUAUAAGCAGAAGGUUCUAUGUUCAAGACCUCCCACUUUUCUCAAAAAAAAAAAAAAAAGUACACAAUAGACGAUUUAUAUUUUGCUCCACUUGCAUUUACACAUACUUACUCUUAAAUACUAGUUAAGUUGACCAUUUAAAAACCCAAAAUUUGGUGGGACACAAAAUUAUACCAAAUUCUUAGACGCACAAGUGUUUUAUUUUAUUUUAUUUUAUCGUUUUGUUAGGAAACAUCCAAACAAGAGGCAAGGAAAUGCUCGGUAGAACCUAACAUUUAUAUAUCCUACCAUGUAUAUAUAUAUACUAACAGUUAUUAACAUUCUUUGUAUAUUUUUUCUAUUUAAUCUUACCUACCAUUAUAUUUAUUUACUUUUCUUAAUUAAUUUUACAUUUUAAAAAAUAUGACACCUAAAAAUAUAUCUUAACGGACACCCUCAUACUUCAAAUUCAGGUGGCACUAAAUAAUACGCCUUUAUACAAGGAUUUAUUGCCCAGUAUUGCAUCUCUAGAGGAAUGAAUACAAAGCCAACAAAUCUGCUGGUGCUUAAUCACAGAUCAUGGAAUGGGUGAGUCCUUUGUAUUAUCAAAAGGUGAUUAGUAAAAUUUAGCCACAUUGCCUCAACUAAUUCUAACUAAAAAUUUGCACAAACAAAAUCUUUGAAAACUUCAAAACCUUUGUCAAAAGUUAACUACUCCUUUCUAUCCGAAAUAUCAGCUGCCCUGAUCGCCCAAGUGAUUUUAGCUUCCACAAAAUGUUGCACCCAUGUAACUGGAAGUAGUAUCCAAUACUGUGACCUACAUGCUACUAGUAUAUGCUACUAGUAAUAGAAACGAGGGUUUGAUUAUUAACUGCCGAGGAAUUCAGCUGAGGACUGUUUUUUUUAACAACAGCUAGGAUUGUGAUGCUUCAGGCCUUCAAGGACAGGGCUCUCUUCCCAUAGCAAACUGUCUCUGUCUCUCUCUGGAUCAUGGAAUUUGAGUCUCCCGAUGCAAGAAAAAACAGUGCUACUGUGGUCUGUGGGGAAGCCUGCAAUUGGUAGGGCGCAGUUUCCUUUAAAUGCCAACACAACUACACACCGGCAUUUGCAUUUUAUUUUGUCUUUCCUUCUGGUCUCAUCAACUAAAAACUUGGAAGCUUUUCCCUUAGUAUUCUCUUUGAGUACUUCUACGUAAAUGUAGAAAGGGUCUCUCCCACGUAACAUCGCAAGUCAUUUUUGGGUACUAUCUUCCGAGCUUUGUUGGAACUAUCUUUCUUUUUCCCCUCCAGGAAGAACUUCAAGAACCACAUCAAACAAAAAAAAAAAAAAAAAUCCAGCAGAGCAUUUGCCUACCAUUUCACAUCAUCCCAAAUGUUUGUCCUUUAUUCUUGACCAUGACGUGCUUCUAAUUGCAGAUAAAGAUAGAUUUCAAGCGCCUUCUCUGCUGUGAAAGCUGCACUAUCGAAAUUCGAAAGAGGUUACUUUGGCAUGGUUUUGGCUCAGAAACUAGGGUUUGGCUCUUCUUCGUUUUGAGAUACUGAGAAAAGCAAGAUAUACGGUGUACAUUUAGCAUGAUGGCAUUGGGAGGAAGUCUCUCACGGGUGAACAGUUACAGCAAGAAGCAGUGCAGAAGCCUUUUCUGCAGAGUAAGGGCAGCAGCGAAGAAGGCCAUCAGGAGCGCUGGUGGUGGUGGAAAAGGUAAACAUCAAUUCAAAUUCCACUAUGAUCCUUCGAGCUAUGCCCUCAACUUUGAUGACGGCUCUCAUGAAUCGGGAGAGAAAACAACAACGGUGUUUUACCAGCAGCCAUCCAACUCCAAACUGCAGAGCUCUUGCAAGACCAAUAAUACUACCUGGAUUUAUAUCAUCUGGGUGGAGUCUUAACUCUUACGCAGUUCUGUGUUUCCACAUUUUCUACUACCAUAUAUGAGUCAAAUUCAUGUUUAUUUCCAAGUUUUUGUUUACCUUUUACAGUACUUUCCUUGUGAUUCUCUUCUGCUACCUGCUGCAAGAGUACGAAAAUAGUGUCCUUUUGGCUAUACUCUUGAUUAAGUUACGAACAUUUCCAAACUUCGAUUCUUUAAUACAUAUGGUCUAUCCAGUGGCCUUUUAGCAAAUAAUCACCCCUGGCCUACUCUCAAAAACAGCCUAAUACAUUAGUAUUGGCAACAAUAAACAUGAGACAGAGAGACCCAGAAAUUUAUUAAUUUUCCGUGCGGUAUAGACAGCAGAUACGCUUUUCGUUGUGAAUAAUAAGUGACUUUACGCGUUUAUUUAAUAUCCACACUGACAAAAAGCGGACAUAUACAGAGAGAGAGAGAGAGCCAUCACUGUUCCCAUCUGUUGUACUACUAGAUAACAAACUAAAUUCAUCAUUAAUGAUACUGUAAAGGAAAGCGGACACAAGGAGUAUCAUUUAUUAUACAUGAGAUUGGCAAAGAAUCCACAUUCGGAACAAAACGGUGCAAUACGUGACUGUUUCCAUUGGCUGUACACCAAGUUUGCUUUCUGUGGAGAGACCUAUUGCCCUAGUAAAGUAGUAUAAAUUAAUGAAAAUGACAUCCAUGAAUGACUGACCAACUACUUUCUUCCAAGAUACACCGUAUUGCAGCUCUUUGCUGUCGUACCCGUUGAAUGAGC
RNAcentral lists this long non-coding RNA (9615 nucleotides) under Coffea arabica (coffee). Its description in RNAcentral is "long non-coding RNA (CARA_LNC000980)". The record is from RNAcentral. Lineage: Eukaryota; Viridiplantae; Streptophyta; Magnoliopsida; Gentianales; Rubiaceae.